RNAcentral lists this long non-coding RNA (3102 nucleotides) under Homo sapiens (human). RNAcentral describes it as "HSALNT0396217". The record is from RNAcentral. Lineage: Eukaryota; Metazoa; Chordata; Mammalia; Primates; Hominidae.
AUCCAACUCCACCUCCUCCAGCAGGGCCAGCAGCUGCUCCUCGUUGCGCACCACCUUGUCCUGGGCGUACAGCCCCUCCGGCAGGGCCCGCUGCUGCCCCAGCCCCAGCAGUGCCACCUCCAGCGCCAGCACCAAGUAGGACUCCCCAGGGCUCCCGGGCACAGGCACGUGCUGGUAGGCCACCUUCCGCUUCUCGGGGCCUGAGUCUGGGGGAGACAGGGCCAGGGCUGCUGGAGACGGAUCCCCUUCCCUAAGGUCCCUGUAGCCCUUGGCCUCAAGCAUGGAGACCUGGGCGCAGGGUAGGCUUUAGAGGGAGCCCAGAAGCUCCCAGCACUCACGGGGUUGGGGGAGCGCGGGAGCCCCACCUUCUAGCAGCAGCUAGGCCUAUGGUGGCCUCACUUUCAGGAGAAGCUAAGCCUAUUGGCUCUGGGCACUGGCCAGAGGAGGUAGCCAAGGGUAGGGGCGUGGCCAAGGGUCAGAGUCUGGGAGUUACCUUAUAGGGGUACUGGGCCAGGGGGCGUGGCCAACGAGGCGGGGUUGUCCCACCUCCUCCAAGAGUACCCCAUGUGAGUACCUGGGUAAAGGGUAAGUGUCUCCUCCUCCAGACGACAGGCCUCCAGGAGCGCCCUGCAGAGGCAGCCAAUGGGGUCCAGGGGGUGCCCCACCCAUCCUUCGGUGUUGGUGAUGCAGGUGGAGCCCUUCUGGAGCAGCUCUGCAGGUGGAAAGAGGGGGCUCAAUGCCCACACACCUGCCCAAGUCUCUAGGAGGGAGGGAUAUUCCUCUUCUUGACCUGCCAGCCAGCCUAGCCCCAUAAUGCCCACCACCUGCUCACCCAAUGGUCACCUUCAACUUUUUUUUUUGAGGUGGGGUCUCGCUUAUUGCCCAGGCUGGAGUGCAGUGGCCCAAUCAUAGCUCACUGCAGCCUCUGGAGCUCAAGCGAUCCUCCUGCUUCGGCCUCCCAAAGGGAUUACAGGCAUGGGCCACCAUGCCUGGCCACUGGACGCUUUCUAAAACACCCGAAGUGUCAUUCCCCUCCUCAUUGCCCUUAUUCCCUCUCCACCUCUCUGAAGAUAAAGCCCCAACAGCCUUUAGGGCCCCCAAGGACCAGUAUGAAGUUUUUCCAUAUACUGGUGACCUGCCUCAUCUGGAGGCCAAUCCUCCAGCCUCGUCCUCCAAGCCACGUACUCUCUUCCCUCCUGGCUGCUGCUCAUGGUGUUCCUUCUAUUCUGAGCACUUCCUCCAUCCCCUUCUCCUGGGUAACUCCUGCACAUCCUUUUUCUUUUUUUAAAUUUUUUCUGAGAUGGAGUUUUGCUCUUGUUGCCCAGACUAGAGUGCAAUGGCGUGAUCUCAGCUCACCACAACCUCCAGGUACCUCCCGGUUCAAGGGAUUCUCCUGCCUCAGUGUCCUGAGUAGCUGGGAAUACAGGUACGUGCCACCACACCUGGCUAAUUUGUUUUGGAUUUUUAGUAGAGAUGGGGUUUCACUAUGUUGGCCAGGCUGGUUUUGAACUCCUGACCUCAGGCACUCCACCUGCCUCCACCUCCCAAAGUGUUGGGAUUACAGGUGUGAGCCACUGUGCCUGGCCAUGCACAUCCUUAAAUACUCAGCUAAUUAGCCACCUGGCUAAUUUUUAAAAUCUAGGGGCCUUUCACUGAUGCUGCCAAGCCUGGUCAGAGCUCUGCUCGGGUCCCAGGGCCCCCAUGUUUCCUCCACGACACACUUUUCUUCGUUCAAUUUCCUGAUAGCUGAUCCAUCAACCCCAUCGACUAGCUCUCUCAACUGGUGGCCUCCCUCCUGUCCCCCACCCCCAUAUCUAGUACACAAUGUGGUUUUUGGGGCUCAUACAGCCUCCUUCCCUCCCUCCCUUCCUUCCUUCCCCUCUCUCUCCCCCCAUCUCUCUCUGUCCCUCCCUCCCCACCUCUUUCUUUCCUCUUCUCUCUCUCCUCGCUCUCCUCUCUCUCUCUUUUUUUUUUUUUAAUUUUUUGAGACGGAGUCUCGCUCUGUCACCCAGUCUAGAGUGCAGUGGUGUAAUCUUGGCUCACUGCAACCAACCUCUGCCUCCCAGAUUAAAGCAAUUCUCAUGCCGCAGCCUCCCUAGUAGCUGGAAAUACAGGUGUGCGCCACCACGCCUGGCUAAUUUUAAAAAUAUUUUCAGUAGGCCAGGCACGGUGGCUUACACCUGUAAUCCCAGCACUUUGGGAGGCUGAGGUGGGUGGAUCAAAAGGUCAGGAGUUCGAGAAGAGCCUGGCCAACAUAGUGAAACCCCAUCUCUACUAAAAACACAAAAAUUAACUGGGUGUGGUGGUGGGUGCCUGUAGUCCCAAGCUACUCAGGAGGCUGAGGCCGGAGAAUUGCUUGAACCUGGGAGGCAGAGGUUGCAGUAAGCUGAGAUUGCGCCACUGCACUCCAGACUGGGCGAAAGACCGAGACUCCAUCUCAAAAAAAAAAAAAAAAAAAAAAAAAAAAAAAAUUUCCAGGCACGGUGGCUCAAGCCUGUAAUCCCAGCACUUUGGGAGGCCAAGGCAGGCAGAUCACCUGAGGUUGGGAGUUCGAGACCAGUCUCACCAAUGGAGAAACCCCAUCUCUACUAAAAAUACAAAAAAAUUAGCCGGGCAUGGUGGCGCAUGCCUGUAAUCCCAGCUACUUGGGAGGCUGAGGCAGGAGAAUCCCUUGAACCUGGGAGGUGGAGGUUGCGGUGAGCCGAGAUUGCUCCAUUGCACUCCAACCUGGGCAACAAGAGCGAAACUCUGUCUCAAAAAAAAAAAGAGAUGAGGUCUUGCUCUGUCACCCAGGCUAGAGUGCAGUGGCAUAAUUAUAGCUCACUGCAGCCUUGAACUCCUGGGCUCAAGUGAUCCUCCUGCCUCAGCCUACAGAGUAGCUGGGACUACAGGUGUGAGCCACCACAUCCAGCUAAUUUUUUUUUUUUAAUUUUUGUAGAGACAUUGUCUCACUAUGUUGCCCAGGCUGAUGUUGAACUCCUGGCCUCAAGCAAUCCUCCCACCUCGGACUCCCAAUGUGCUGGGAUCACAGGUGCGAGCCCCCGUGCCCGGCUGAGGCUGACCUUUUUUCUGCUGCUUGUAGCUCUCUAGCUGAUGCCGCUG